UUGCACGCUGGCGGCAGGCCUAACCCCUGCCAGUCGAGCGGAUGAAGGGAGCUUGCUCCUGGAUUCAGCGGCGGACGGGUGAGUAAUGCCUAGGAAACUGCCUGGUAGUGGGGGAUAACGUCCGGAAACGGGCGCUAAUACCGCAUACGUCCUGAGGGAGAAAGUGGGGGAUCUUCGGACCUCACGCUAUCAGAUGAGCCUAGGUCGGAUUAGCUAGUUGGUGGGGUAAAGGCCUACCAAGGCGACGAUCCGUAACUGGUCUGAGAGGAUGAUCAGUCACACUGGAACUGAGACACGGUCCAGACUCCUACGGGAGGCAGCAGUGGGGAAUUUUGGACAAUGGGCGAAAGCCUGAUCCAGCCAUGCCGCGUGUGUGAAGAAGGUCUUCGGAUUGUAAAGCACUUUAAGUUGGGAGGAAGGGCAGUAAGUUAAUACCUUGCUGUUUUGACGUUACCAACAGAAUAAGCACCGGCUAACUUCGUG
This 483-nucleotide ribosomal RNA is filed under the name uncultured bacterium. Its description in RNAcentral is "partial 16S ribosomal RNA". It matches the Rfam family "Bacterial small subunit ribosomal RNA", at positions 30 to 507 of the family's 1533-position model. The record is from RNAcentral.